This is a long non-coding RNA of Serinus canaria (Common canary), 1361 nucleotides long. RefSeq lists it as uncharacterized. The transcript has 4 exons. The record is from RefSeq and is a predicted model, not a curated record. NCBI's taxonomy places the organism in Eukaryota, Metazoa, Chordata, Aves, Passeriformes, Fringillidae.
GAUGGAAUGUACUAAGAGUGUUGAGGGAGCUUCUGGUGCCACUGUAAGGCCAGUUUUGAUUGCCUUUGAAGGCAAGGUACCUACUGGGAGAGAUUCCUGAUGAAUGGAAAAAAAUCAAACAUCCCUCUGGUCUUGAAGAAGGAGGCAAGGAACCCAAUGACCUUCUAUGACAAGAAGACAGGCUCAGUGAACAAGGGCAGAGCUUGAACUUAACAAGGCUUUCAGCACUGUCUUCAUUGACAAAAUCAUAAAGCUUAUAAUAGAUAAAUACACAGUGAGUUUGAUUUGAAGCUGGCUAAACUGUUUGUCUCAAAGGUUUGGGAUGAGCUGCAGGAAGCCCAGCUAGAGGCAGGGAUUUGGGGUAUAUCCCAGGAGUGAAGACUAAGACCAGUCAUUAAUGACUAUUAUGACUAAGACCAGUCAUUAAAGAUUAAUACAAGUGAUUAAUGACUUGUAUGACGGGACAGAGCACACCCUCAACAGCUUUGCAGAGGAUGCAAAACUGGCAGGAGUGGUUAUUGCAACAGCUCCUCAUGCUGCCAUUCAGAGGGGCCUGGACAGGUUGUAGAAAUGGCCUGACAGGUAUCCUACAACCUUCAACAAAGGGAAUUUCAAGUACUGCAGCUGGGGAGGAAUAGCCAUGGGGAGUAGCCAAAUUGACCUGGGCAUCUUUCACUAAGACCCUAGCUACAGAAACCUAUCUCUCCAAAUAUAGUAUCACUAAAUAAAUUAAAAUGUUAAGCCACAAUCUGGGGAGAACACCAGGUGUGGAAACUCAAAUUCUACGCAACUUUGGUGGACUUCAGUUGCUCAUUCUGAGAUAUUUCAUGGUUUCUUCAGGGAAGCACUAAUGAAAAUAUUACUGGAGGAAAUGCUUUGCUUCCUAGUAGGGUUUGUACCAGGCAUUCCUGAUGAGGAAAUCUGCAUGUGUGAUGUGUUGGAAGCCUUGCUGACCUUCAGCUCUUGCAGUAAUUUGAUGGCUCAGGAAAACAUUUUGUGAUAUUUUUUUAAAACUAAUAUGUGUUUGUGCCUUCUGGAACCAAUUCCAGCCAUUGACACAAAGAGAGAACAAACUGUUAGCAAACAUCUCCUACAUGUUUUUUGAAGAGGCACAUUUCUUUUGAGUUAUUCCCAGCCAAGAGAAAGCACCUGGCAUAUUGCUUCUGGUGAUGCCUGCCAGCUUCAGAGAGCAGAGUUAAUUAUGUUACACAUGAGUCUCCUCCUGGCGCGUUGUCAACAUCUGGAUGCCCUGGUUAUAUAUUUCAACCCAAGGAAACCUAAAAAGGCAAAGAAGGGCUGCUCACCACAGGCUGUGACACCACUGGAGACCCAGGGAUUACACAGAUCACCGUGGAUCCACC